CUCGACUAGGGAUAACAGGGUAAUUGUUUGAAUGAGGCUUCAGUACUUUACAGAAUCGUUGCCUGCACAUCUUGGAAACACUUGCUGGGAUUACUUCUUCAGGUUAACCCAACAGAAGGCUCGAGAAGGUAUAUUGCUGUUGACAGUGAGCGCAGGAAUUAUAAUGCUUAUCUAUAGUGAAGCCACAGAUGUAUAGAUAAGCAUUAUAAUUCCUAUGCCUACUGCCUCGGAAUUCAAGGGGCUACUUUAGGAGCAAUUAUCUUGUUUACUAAAACUGAAUACCUUGCUAUCUCUUUGAUACAUUUUUACAAAGCUGAAUUAAAAUGGUAUAAAUUAAAUCACUUUUUU
RNAcentral lists this unclassified non-coding RNA (348 nucleotides) under Retroviral Tet-shRNA expression vector TRMPV-Neo. Its description in RNAcentral is "miR30-shRNA". The record is from RNAcentral. RNAcentral also lists the same sequence under 4 other names.